This 387-nucleotide ribosomal RNA is filed under the name uncultured bacterium. RNAcentral's name for it is "bacterial SSU rRNA". It matches the Rfam family "Bacterial small subunit ribosomal RNA", at positions 30 to 417 of the family's 1533-position model. The record is from RNAcentral.
AUUGAACGCUGGCGGCAUGCCUUACACAUGCAAGUCGAACGGUAACAGGGAGCUUGCUCCGCUGACGAGUGGCGAACGGGUGAGUAAAGUAUCGGAACGUACCUUUCAGUGGGGGAUAACUAUCCGAAAGGAUAGCUAAUACCGCAUAUUCUGUGAGCAGGAAAGCAGGGGAUCGCAAGACCUUGCGCUGAUUGAGCGGCCGAUAUCAGAUUAGCUAGUUGGUGAGGUAAAGGCUCACCAAGGCGACGAUCUGUAGCGGGUCUGAGAGGAUGAUCCGCCACACUGGAACUGAGACACGGUCCAGACUCCUACGGGAGGCAGCAGUGGGGAAUUUUGGACAAUGGGGGCAACCCUGAUCCAGCCAUGCCGCGUGAGUGAAGAAGGCCU